GCAGUGUAGCACUCGCGCCCUUGGGGGCUAGCGUUUGGCCGGAGCUACACACUCUUUACUCACGCACGCACACCGCCGUACACAGCACAAUCGUUCACCGUCCCGCCAAAGGCUCGUCUCUCGGGUUCUGCCUAGUGGAAGGAGUCGGACAACGCCGCACGUCACGGGCGUUUCGGAUUUCUUGCUUCCCAAAGGUUUGACGGCGGCCACCGGCGCCCCGGCCCAGCUCUGCUUUCCUUUGCUGACUCCUUCCUUUAGGUGUGAAUUUUAAAAUGCUGAUACCGCCCCAAGAGAGCUGAGUCAAGUGAGGCAAACGUUCGCCUGUUGUUCUCCUGACAGACUCCCUGCAGUGGGCAGGGGAAAUGUGGCCUUGGCCGACAUUAAUGAAGUGCCAGGAUGGAGGGAGGGGGCCUGCUGAUUUGUUCUGUUUUACUUUUUAAGGGUAACUAGAGCGUUACUGGAGUCGUCUGUGGGUUUGGGGAGUAUGUGGCGCGUGUGUGUGUCACACAUUUCACUGGCAACUCCCGCCAACCCCUUCCCAAGAAAUGAAGGCUCUAAUGUGGGCAGUUCUGCAACAAAGGUGAAACUUCCCCAAAUCACGAUUCCCCGCAAGAUGAGAGAGCAGGUGCAGCAUCCAUUUUCCCACUAUCACGCUUGAGAUGGUGGCUUUGGGCACUGCCGGGUGCCCCGACAUCCUUCCCAGAGCCCAGCCUUCCCACCCAGGCCCGGCCCUGCGCGGCCGCCUGCCUUUGCAUCAGAGACCGCGGCUGUGCCAUUGCCAAGGUGGGCAGCGCCGCCUCGCUUCCCCAUUCCUCCGUCUCCCACGCCUCUUGCGUGUUUGAGUCGCGAAGUGAUGGACUUUAAAUCUCAGAGGAGGAAUGAGAAACUUGGUUAGUGGCUCUCUUGGCAUGUUCGUAGCCCUGUGGUUGAAGUGGCUGAAACCUGCGUUGAGCCUCAGUCCAAGCAGCUGGGGCCACACCAGUUUGCAAAAGCGGAUGUGGCAGUUUCCACCGCAGCAGCAGCCUGCUGGCGCCUCAUCAGAUUCUCCUUUGGAGGAAGUAUCUUCUUCCCUUCAUUCUCGGUGAAUGGCAUCCAGAGAUAACCAAAAUCAGGUGUAUCUAGUUUCAAGUUCUGUCUUGCAACCGUGAUAAUUGGAGGAUGCAAACUUUACACUUUCUUCUCUAGCUGUCUACCACCACUGCUGCGCUUGUGGAUGACUGCAGGAACACCGGGUACUUGCCACAAGUAUCUCUCCAGAUUCAUCAGCCUUUCACCUGUGACAAGCUCAGUCAAGAAGUGGCUCCUAAGUAAAAGCUGGGGAAGAACAAGGAAGAUAGAGCUCAGAGUAGAAAGCUGUGAAGUUCUGCACAACAGGUCCCCUUGGCCUGCUCUAACAGUUGGAAGGUGGGGGAAGCAUUCAUUUACUCAACAAAUAUAUACUGAGUGCCUUUUGCAUGCUAGGCACGCUUCUAGGGGUUGAGGACACAGCAGAGAGCACAAACAACAAUUCCAGCCCUCGUGGAGCUUACCUCUUCCACGUGGGAAAGACAGAUGGUAAAUGUAUAAGGACAAUAUAUGGACUGCUGUAUGAUUAGAAAUGCUAUGGAGAGGCUAGGAGUGCUGUCUCAUGCCUGUAAUCCCGCAGUUUGGGAGGCCAAAGGAGGAGGAUCACUUGAGGCCAGAAGUUGGAGACCCAACCUGGGCAACAUAGUAAGACCCCCUAUCUACAAAAAGUUUAAAAAUUAGCCAGGCAUGGUGGCGUGCACCUGUAGUCCUAGCUAUCCAGGAGGCUGAGGUGGGAGGAUCACUUGAGCCCACUGCAUUCCAGCCUGGGUGACAGAGUGAGACCCUGUUUUGAAAGAAAGAAAGAAAUGCUGUGGAUAAAAAUUAAGCAGAGAGGGUACAUAGAAAGUAUGAGGGGUGCUAUGUUCGGAGAGGGGUGAUGAUCAAGGAAAGCUUCUGGAGGAGGUAACAUUUGAGGAACGACUUGAGGGAGGUUAGGGAUAUCUGAGCAGACAACUUCCCAGGCAGAAAGCAUAGCAAAUGUAAAGGCCCUGAGGCAGGAGUAUGCCUAAGUGUACUAGGAGCAAUCCAGAAGGCACCAUGAAAGAAUGGAGAAGAUGAAGUCAAAGAAGUGAAAGGUGGGGGUGAUGCAGAUCAGGGCAACUUGUAUUGUAGGAAUCAUCAGGCAAUAAGAUGCAGGGAAAACUCUGGAUACUGCAUACCCAAAGUUGAAUACAUUUUUCUUCUUUUUGAAACUUUUAAUACACAUAAAGACAAGUGCACGUAUUAUAAGUAUAUAGUUCAGUUUAUUUCGACAACCUGAAUAAACCCAUGUAAUCAGCACCCAGAUCAGGAAACAGAAUCUGGAAGCUUCCUUGUGUCCCCUUCCAACCACUAUUUCCCCUCAAAGUUAAUCCUGACUUCUAACUGCAUAGAUUUGUCUUGUCUAUUUUUGUACUUUAUAUAACUAGAAUAAUAGAAUAGAUACUCUUUUGUAUCUGUCUCUCUGGUUCUUAUUUGUAAGAUUCAUCCAUAUUGUUGAUGUUGAUGUGCUUAUGGGUAGUUUAUUAUUUGCUGUAUAUAGUAUUUCAUUGGGUAAAUACUCCAUGAAUUAGUUAUCCAUUACUACUUAUAAGUGUACAGCUCAGCUUAUUUCCACAAGCCAAAUAGACCCAUGUAAUUGAUGGUUGUUUGGUGACAGAGAGAAGGGUUUUUUUUUAAAUCUUUUAAAAUGCAUGACAGGAAAGUAGAAUUACUUAAGUAUUAAAAAAACAGUAAGAAGGGGAAAUUAAAAUGGUGUAGCUACUUUGGAAAAUAGUCUGAUAGUUCCUGAAAUAAUUAAACAUAGAGUUACUAUAUGACCCAGCAAUUGCACUCAUAGGCAUAUAUGCAAGACAAAACAUAUGUCCACACAAAAACUUGUACAUAAAUAUUCAUAGCAUCAUUAGCCACAAUAUCUAAAGGGUGAAAAUAAUCCAGAUGUCCAACAACUGAUGAAUGGUUAAACAAAAUGUGGUAUACCCAUAUAAUGGAAUAUUAUUUGGCCAUAAAAAGUAAUGAAGUGGCCAGGCGCCAUGGCUCACACCUAUAAUCUAGCAUUUUGGGAGGCUGAAGCGGGUGGAUCACUUGAGGUCAGGAGUUCAAAACUAGCCUGGCCAACAUGGUAAAAUGCCGUCUCUACUAAAAAUACAAAAAAAAUUAGCCAGGUAUGGUGGCAGGUCCCUGUAAUCCCAGCUACUUGGGAGGCUGAGGCAGGUGAAUUGCUUGAACCUGGGAAGCAAAGGUUGCAGUGAGCCAAGAUUGUGCCACUGUACUCCAUCCUGGGUGACAGAGCGAGACUCCAUCUCAAAAAAAAGGAAUGAAAUAUCAAUAGGAUAUACACUGCAAUAUGGAUGAAGCUUGAAAAUAUUAUGUUACAUAAAAGAAGCCAGGUAUGAAAGAUAUUAUUGUAUGGUUCCAUUUAUAUGAAAUGUCCAGAAUCAAAAUAGACAAAUCCAUACAGGCAGAAAGAGACUUGGGCAGUUAGAGUUAAAGAGGGGAAUGGGGCAUGACUGAUAAUGGAUACAGGGUUUCUUUCUGGUGUCAUGAAAAUGCUCUGGAAUUAGAUAGUAAUGAUGGUUCUACAUGUAAAUAUACUAAAACCACUCAAUGCAUACUUUUAAAAAGAUGACUUUUACAGCAUAUGAAAUAUCUGUCCAUUUUUUUUAAAGGAAAGUAGAAUAAAAGAGCGCCAGAGCCGGCACUUGUCUGGAAAUUAUCCACUGAUCCCUGGUGGCCUACAACCUGGGUUACAAUGGGAUAUAAAUGAAGGGACAGGAGACAAACCUUUAGAGGAAGACACUAGGAGAAGGGGGGUGGCAGUGGAAUCCACAGAGGAAGACAGUGAAGAUAUGUGCCUUUUUGAGCCUUGGCCCUGGGUGGAAUGAUUUUAAAAAAAAGUUUCCCCUGAAAAUCACUAACUCCACACCUAAUUUGGAGCCAAAAUUAAUAUUAUCUAUGUGGUCCAAAAAUACUCCAAAAGUUUAGAUCAGAUGGGUCCUGGAUUGGUUGUACCUCUAGGUGCCCAGCCGGCACAACAAACACAAAUCCUGUUGAGGAAUGCAUUUUAAAUCCAGGCUUCAAAGCAUUGCCACAGAUAAAUAUGCAAAGAAUUUGAAUAUUAUAAUUUCCCUUUGGAUUUCAGUUUAAUCCUGGGUGGUUUAGGAAUUUUUUAUUGACAGAGCUGUUUAAAUCUACCUUUUUAUUAUUAACUAUUCUAGUGUUUUUGUUUUUGUUUUUGUUUUUUUGAGAUGGAGUCUUGCUCUGUCGCCCAGGCUGGAGUGCAGUGGCGCUAUCUCGGCUCACUGCAGGCUCCGCCCCCCAGGGUUCACGCCAUUCUCCUGCCUCAGCCUCCCGAGUAGCUGGGACUACAGGCGCCCGCCACCUUGCCC
RNAcentral lists this long non-coding RNA (4433 nucleotides) under Homo sapiens (human). Its description in RNAcentral is "non-protein coding FAM160A1-DT:19". The record is from RNAcentral. Lineage: Eukaryota; Metazoa; Chordata; Mammalia; Primates; Hominidae.